GGGUCAGUAGGUUGGUCGUGCCACCGGUACGUACUGGUCUCACUGAUUCCUCCUUCCUGAAGAACCGUAAUGCCAUUAAUUUGGUGUUGCGGGGAAACAGGACUGUUACUUUGGAAAAAUUAGAGUGUUUAAAGCAAGCUAACGCUUGAAUACAUUAGCAUGGAAUAAUGAAAUAGGACGAUCGAUCCUAUUUUGUUAGUUUCUAGGAUUGACGUA
Molecule: ribosomal RNA, 216 nt
Filed under: Glomeromycotina sp.
Lineage: Eukaryota; Fungi; Glomeromycota
Description: partial small subunit ribosomal RNA
Rfam family: Eukaryotic small subunit ribosomal RNA (bases 40-216)
Source: RNAcentral